AAAAAGACAAACCCUGGUUUCCGUGCCCAAUAUUUGACCGUCCGUCUUAUUUUUGAAAAAAAUAUAAAAAAAUUAAAAAGACAAGUCACGCAUAAAAUAUUAAUCAUGUUUUAUCAUCUAACAACAAUGAAAAUACGAAUUAUAAAAAAAUUUCAUAUAAGACGGACAGUCAAAGUUGGACACGGAAACCCAAGGUUUGCCUUUUU
RNAcentral lists this microRNA precursor (206 nucleotides) under Oryza rufipogon (brownbeard rice). Its description in RNAcentral is "MIR812 microRNA precursor family". It matches the Rfam family "MIR812 microRNA precursor family". The record is from Rfam by way of RNAcentral. Lineage: Eukaryota; Viridiplantae; Streptophyta; Magnoliopsida; Poales; Poaceae.